UACGUAGGGGGCAAGCGUUGUCCGGAAUUAUUGGGCGUAAAGAGCUCGUAGGCGGUUUGUCGCGUCGGGAGUGAAAUCCACUGGCUUAACUGGUGGCUUGCUUUCGAUACGGGCAGACUGGAGGUAUGCAGGGGAGAACGGAAUUCCUGGUGUAGCGGUGAAAUGCGCAGAUAUCAGGAGGAACACCGGUGGCGAAGGCGGUUCUCUGGGCAUGUCCUGACGCUGAGGAGCGAAAGUGUGGGGAGCGAACAGG
This 253-nucleotide ribosomal RNA is filed under the name uncultured bacterium. RNAcentral describes it as "partial 16S ribosomal RNA". It matches the Rfam family "Bacterial small subunit ribosomal RNA", at positions 524 to 776 of the family's 1533-position model. The record is from RNAcentral.